This 2923-nucleotide ribosomal RNA is filed under the name Klebsiella pneumoniae. RNAcentral's name for it is "23S ribosomal RNA". It matches the Rfam family "Bacterial large subunit ribosomal RNA". Lineage: Bacteria; Pseudomonadati; Pseudomonadota; Gammaproteobacteria; Enterobacterales; Enterobacteriaceae. The record is from RNAcentral.
GGGUUGUGAGGUUAAGCGACUAAGCGUACACGGUGGAUGCCCUGGCAGUCAGAGGCGAUGAAGGACGUGCUAAUCUGCGAAAAGCGUCGGUAAGGUGAUAUGAACCGUUAUAGCCGGCGAUGUCCGAAUGGGGAAACCCAGUGCAAUUCGUUGCACUAUCGUUAACUGAAUACAUAGGUUAACGAGGCGAACCGGGGGAACUGAAACAUCUAAGUACCCCGAGGAAAAGAAAUCAACCGAGAUUCCCCCAGUAGCGGCGAGCGAACGGGGAGCAGCCCAGAGUCUGAAUCAGCUUGUGUGUUAGUGGAACGGUCUGGAAAGUCCGACGGUACAGGGUGAUAGUCCCGUACACCAAAAUGCACAGGCUGUGAACUCGAAGAGUAGGGCGGGACACGUGGUAUCCUGUCUGAAUAUGGGGGGACCAUCCUCCAAGGCUAAAUACUCCUGACUGACCGAUAGUGAACCAGUACCGUGAGGGAAAGGCGAAAAGAACCCCGGCGAGGGGAGUGAAAAAGAACCUGAAACCGUGUACGUACAAGCAGUGGGAGCACCUUCGGGUGUGACUGCGUACCUUUUGUAUAAUGGGUCAGCGACUUAUAUUCUGUAGCAAGGUUAACCGUAUAGGGGAGCCGCAGGGAAACCGAGUCUUAACUGGGCGUUAAGUUGCAGGGUAUAGACCCGAAACCCGGUGAUCUAGCCAUGGGCAGGUUGAAGGUUGGGUAACACUAACUGGAGGACCGAACCGACUAAUGUUGAAAAAUUAGCGGAUGACUUGUGGCUGGGGGUGAAAGGCCAAUCAAACCGGGAGAUAGCUGGUUCUCCCCGAAAGCUAUUUAGGUAGCGCCUCGUGAACUCAUCUUCGGGGGUAGAGCACUGUUUCGGCUAGGGGGUCAUCCCGACUUACCAACCCGAUGCAAACUACGAAUACCGAAGAAUGUUAUCACGGGAGACACACGGCGGGUGCUAACGUCCGUCGUGAAGAGGGAAACAACCCAGACCGCCAGCUAAGGUCCCAAAGUCAUGGUUAAGUGGGAAACGAUGUGGGAAGGCACAGACAGCCAGGAUGUUGGCUUAGAAGCAGCCAUCAUUUAAAGAAAGCGUAAUAGCUCACUGGUCGAGUCGGCCUGCGCGGAAGAUGUAACGGGGCUAAACCAUGCACCGAAGCUGCGGCAGCGACACUAUGUGUUGUUGGGUAGGGGAGCGUUCUGUAAGCCUGCGAAGGUGUGCUGUGAGGCAUGCUGGAGGUAUCAGAAGUGCGAAUGCUGACAUAAGUAACGAUAAAGCGGGUGAAAAGCCCGCUCGCCGGAAGACCAAGGGUUCCUGUCCAACGUUAAUCGGGGCAGGGUGAGUCGACCCCUAAGGCGAGGCCGAAAGGCGUAGUCGAUGGGAAACAGGUUAAUAUUCCUGUACUUGGUGUUACUGCGAAGGGGGGACGGAGAAGGCUAUGUUAGCCGGGCGACGGUUGUCCCGGUUUAAGCAUGUAGGCUGGUUAUCCAGGCAAAUCCGGAUAAUCAAGGCUGAGGUGUGAUGACGAGGCACUACGGUGCUGAAGUAACAAAUGCCCUGCUUCCAGGAAAAGCCUCUAAGCAUCAGGUAACAUCAAAUCGUACCCCAAACCGACACAGGUGGUCAGGUAGAGAAUACCAAGGCGCUUGAGAGAACUCGGGUGAAGGAACUAGGCAAAAUGGUGCCGUAACUUCGGGAGAAGGCACGCUGGUGUGUAGGUGAAGUCCCUGCGGAUGGAGCUGAGACCAGUCGAAGAUACCAGCUGGCUGCAACUGUUUAUUAAAAACACAGCACUGUGCAAACACGAAAGUGGACGUAUACGGUGUGACGCCUGCCCGGUGCCGGAAGGUUAAUUGAUGGGGUUAUCCGUAAGGAGAAGCUCUUGAUCGAAGCCCCGGUAAACGGCGGCCGUAACUAUAACGGUCCUAAGGUAGCGAAAUUCCUUGUCGGGUAAGUUCCGACCUGCACGAAUGGCGUAAUGAUGGCCAGGCUGUCUCCACCCGAGACUCAGUGAAAUUGAACUCGCUGUGAAGAUGCAGUGUACCCGCGGCAAGACGGAAAGACCCCGUGAACCUUUACUAUAGCUUGACACUGAACAUUGAGCCUUGAUGUGUAGGAUAGGUGGGAGGCUUUGAAGCGUGGACGCCAGUCUGCGUGGAGCCAACCUUGAAAUACCACCCUUUAAUGUUUGAUGUUCUAACGUUGGCCCCUUACCGGGGUUGCGGACAGUGUCUGGUGGGUAGUUUGACUGGGGCGGUCUCCUCCCAAAGCGUAACGGAGGAGCACGAAGGUUAGCUAAUCCUGGUCGGACAUCAGGAGGUUAGUGCAAUGGCAUAAGCUAGCUUGACUGCGAGCGUGACGGCGCGAGCAGGUGCGAAAGCAGGUCAUAGUGAUCCGGUGGUUCUGAAUGGAAGGGCCAUCGCUCAACGGAUAAAAGGUACUCCGGGGAUAACAGGCUGAUACCGCCCAAGAGUUCAUAUCGACGGCGGUGUUUGGCACCUCGAUGUCGGCUCAUCACAUCCUGGGGCUGAAGUAGGUCCCAAGGGUAUGGCUGUUCGCCAUUUAAAGUGGUACGCGAGCUGGGUUUAGAACGUCGUGAGACAGUUCGGUCCCUAUCUGCCGUGGGCGCUGGAGAAUUGAGGGGGGCUGCUCCUAGUACGAGAGGACCGGAGUGGACGCAUCACUGGUGUUCGGGUUGUCAUGCCAAUGGCACUGCCCGGUAGCUAAAUGCGGAAGAGAUAAGUGCUGAAAGCAUCUAAGCACGAAACUUGCCCCGAGAUGAGUUCUCCCUGAGACUUUAAGUCUCCUGAAGGAACGUUAAAGACGAUGACGUUGAUAGGCCGGGUGUGUAAGCGCAGCGAUGCGUUGAGCUAACCGGUACUAAUGAACCGUGAGGCUUAACCUUACAACGCCGAAG